RNAcentral lists this ribosomal RNA (510 nucleotides) under uncultured bacterium. Its description in RNAcentral is "partial 16S ribosomal RNA". It matches the Rfam family "Bacterial small subunit ribosomal RNA", at positions 28 to 507 of the family's 1533-position model. The record is from RNAcentral.
GACGAACGCUGGCGGCGUGCUUAACACAUGCAAGUCGAACGAAGAGCGAUGGAAGCUUGCUUCUAUCAAUCUUAGUGGCGAACGGGUGAGUAACGCGUAAUCAACCUGCCCUUCAGAGGGGGACAACAGUUGGAAACGACUGCUAAUACCGCAUACGAUCUAAUCUCGGCAUCGAGGGAAGAUGAAAGGUGGCCUCUAUUUAUAAGCUAUCACUGAAGGAGGGGAUUGCGUCUGAUUAGCUAGUUGGAGGGGUAACGGCCCACCAAGGCGAUGAUCAGUAGCCGGUCUGAGAGGAUGAACGGCCACAUUGGGACUGAGACACGGCCCAGACUCCUACGGGAGGCAGCAGUGGGGAAUCUUCCGCAAUGGACGAAAGUCUGACGGAGCAACGCCGCGUGAGUGAUGACGGCCUUCGGGUUGUAAAGCUCUGUUAAUCGGGACGAAAGGCCUUCUUGCGAACAGUUAGAAGGAUUGACGGUACCGGAAGAGAAAGCCACGGCUAACUACGUG